UGCCGCCUAGGCCCCCGAGCAGCCGUAGGGCCUCCUGCACGGCCCCCUCCUCCUGAUGCCACCGGGCGGUCAGUGAGGACACCUCCCUCCUGUAGGGGUAGAGCUGGUGAUGGAAUCUUUGGCGUGGACCAAUCCACUGUUAACCCAACUCUGGGGAAGAACGGGAGACAGCAGCCAAACUUGUGACUUAAUAGCUGAGCCCCCAGAACACUGGAGCCUCUAACCUACUGCAUUUGAAGAGACCUGCUACACUUGAGUCAUUUAUGUGAGCAACAAACUAUCCUGCUUCAACCAGCUAUUUUGGUUUCUUUCACAGCUGCUGAACUAAUACACAAAGAGAAAAGAGAGAAUAAGCUUCCUCCAUUGUAAAAUGGGAACAACUUCACAUUUCUUGCAUAACUGCUCUGGAGAACAAGUGUGAUAUGAAAUAUUGUAUUAAGGUGACAUCAGCAAAAUGGUGGAGUCGGGAACCCCCAAAUUCCACCCCUCCAAACUGGCCAAAACUAUGAGUCAAGUCAUUGAGGGAAUUAUAACAAUAAUAAAUGUAUAUGCACCUAAUAGAGUUUCAAAACACAUGAAUCAGAAACUGAUAGAAUUGGGAAUUCCCUGGAAGUCCAGUGGUUAGGACUCUGCGCUUUCACUGCCGAGGGCCCAGUUUCAAUCCCUGGUCAGGGAACUGAGAUCUGCAAGCCCCAGAGCGUGGCCAAAAAGAAAAAAAAGACACUGACAGAAUUGAAGGGAGAAAUUGACAAUUUAACAGUAAUGGCUGGAGACUACAAUACCUCACUUUCAAGAAUGGAUUGAACAACUAGAGAGUAGAUCAACAAGGAGAUAGAAAACUUGGACAACACUAUAAACCAACCAGACGUGACAGGCACCUACAGAACAUUCCACCCAACAAAAGAAUACACAUUCUUCUCAAGUGAAAUUAAACAUUGUUCAUAUGGUCAAGGACAGACCAUAUAUUAAGUGACAAAACAAGUCUCAAUAAAUUUAAAAGGAUUUGAAAACAAAGUAUGUUUUCUGACCUCAAUGACCUCAGUAGAAUGAAAUCAGGAAUCAAUAGCAGAAAGAAAUUUGAGAAACUCACAAAUAUAUGGAAAUUAAGCAACACACUCAUAAACAGCCAACGGGUAGAAGAAGAAAUCACAAGAGAAAUUAUACUUAGGAAUGAGGGAAAAUGAAAACACAACAUACCAAAACUUGUGGGAUGCAGCAGAGGCAAUACUUUGAGGGAAAUUUAGAGCUGUAAACACCUACAUCAAAAAAGAACUUAGGGCUUCCCUGGUGGCGCAGUGGUUGGGAGCCCGCCUGCCAAUGCAGGGCACACGGGUUCGUGCCCUGGUCUGGGAGGAUCCCACGUGCCGCGGAGCGGCUGGGCCCGUGAGCCAUGGCCGCUGAGCCUGCGCGUCCGGAGCCUGCGCUCCGCAACGGGAGAGGCCACAACAGUGAGAGGCCCGCGUACCGCAAAAAAAAAAAAAAAAAAAAAAAGAACUUAAAAUCAGUAACCUAAUCUUCCACCUUAAGAAACUAGAAAAAGAAGAGACAACUUAACCCAAAGCUAGCAGAAUGAAGGAAAUAAUAAAGAUUAGAGUGGAAAAAAAUGAAAUAGAGAAUAGAAAAACAGUAGAGAAAAAUCAACAAAACCAGAAGUUGGUUUUUUGAAAAGGUCAACAAAAUUGACAAAUUUUAAGCUAGACUGACCAUGAGAAAAAGGAAGAAGACUCAAAUUACUAAAAUCAGGAAGGAAAGAGGGGACAUUACUACCAAUCUUAUGGAAAGAGAAAAGAUUACAAGGGAACACUAUGAACAAUUGUAUGUCAUCAAACUUGAUAAUCUAGGUGAAAUGGAAAAAUUCCUAGCAAAACACUAACUCAAGAAGAGCUAGGACAUCUGGAUAGACCUGUAAUAAGUAAAGAGGUUGAGUUAGUAAUUUUAAAACUUCCAACAAAAAAAGCCCAGAUGGCUUCACUGGUGAAUUCUACCAAUCAUUUAAAAAAGAGUUGCUGCCAAUUCAUCUCAAACCCUUCACCAAAAAAACAAAAAACAAACAAAACAGAAGAGGAGGGAACUAACUCAUUCUAUGAGGCCAAUGUUACCCUGAUACCAAAACCAAAGACAUCACCAGAUAAUAAAACUACAGCUCAAUAUUCCUUCUGAAAGCAGCCACACAAUUUUCAACAAAAUACUAGCAAACCAAGUCCAGCAGCAUAUAAAAAGGAUUAUACACCAUGCCAAGUAGGAUUUAUCCCAGGAAUGCAAAAUUGGUUCAGCGUGAAAAUUAACCCAUGUAACAUUCCGUAUUAGUAAAAUAUAGGGGGAAAAAUACAAUCAUGUCAAUCAAUAGAGAAAUAGCAUUUGACAAAAUCCAGUGCCCUUUCAUGAUAAAAACACUCAACAAACUAGAAGCACAAGGGAACUUUCUCAUCCUGGUGAAGGGCACCCACAAAAAAGAAAAAAUUAAAAACCAAUAAAGCCCACACAAAACCAUGGUGGUUUAAAAUAUGCCCACACAUUUUUUGAGGCUCUUUUAAAAUGUGGAGUCUUAUUCCAGUCACUUGAGUGUCAGCUGGACUUAGUGACUCAUACCUAGUAAAUCGAAUAAGGCAGAGGUGAUGGUAUGUGACUUAAGAAGUGAGUUCAUAAGAGGAACCAUGUCUUCCUUCUUGCUCACUCUUGCUCUGGAGAAUGACAGUUGCCAUGUUCUAAGCAGUUACCUAUGGAGAGGCCCGUGUGGCAAGGAACUGAGGCCUCCAACCAAGAGCCGUGUGAGUGUGCCAUCUUGGAAGCCCAACCUCCAGCUCCAGUCAAGCCUUCAGAUGACUGCAGCCCCUGCCAAAAUCUUGACUACAACCUCAUGAGAGACCCUAAGCCAGAACCACACAAUUAAGCCACUCCGGGUUUUUUGUUUUAAGGUCGGGAAUCAUUUGUUUCACAGCAAUAGCUGUGAUAUUUUUAAACUGAAGACCCAACGGUCUUGGAUUUCCCAUAGGUAGCUGUUCUGGGAAACUAGGGGAGCAGGUUCUGGAGUCAGCUCAGUUCUUCCACUUACUAGCUGUAUGACCUCAGGGAGGGGACUUCACCUCUCUAAGCCUCUGUUUCCCUACCUGUAAAAUAGGGAGGGACUAAUAACUACCUUCACAGGGCUGCUGUUGGGAUAAACACAGGCUAAUCCAGAAAGGCCCUUGGUCAAUACUUGGGAAAAGAGAAAGUGCAGCUGGGGUCACUGGAGGUGAGUUUUAGCUUCACUGAGAGCAGAUUUGAGGAAUGGCGAAGGCAGAGGCUGCUAGCCUUGGCUAAAAAAGCGAACGGCGUGGUGGUGGGGAGCCAAACCUGGGGAUAAACCUCUCCUUGGCCAUCCACAUGCCAUGCAACUGGACAAUCCAACUCCCCACUCCGAGCCUGCCUCGGUUUCCCUUCUUGUCAAAUGGGAAUGAGGAUACCUUGCUCAGAUGGUGGUGAGGAAAGGUCGAGAAGAUGAUAGGAUCCAUAAGCCAAGUGCAGUGAUUAGUGUCAGCAUCGUUAAACAUAAAGACAACACGACAGGACCUACCAGGAAAGGGCUUGGCACCAAGACCCUACAGCAGCCUCAGGGAAAUCUGUAGACAGCAGGACAAGUUCCAAGCAGGGCUCAAAAGACCUGCUCUGGCCAUUUCCACAUGGAGGCACUGACCUUCCCCCAAAGCAAUACUACCUCCUCAGUUGCAUCCUUUGGCCUCAUAAAGAUGUCAGAGCUUAAGACAGGAGCCAGGGAAUUCCCUGGUGGUCCCGUGGUUAGGACUCCAUGCUCUCACCGCCAGGGGCCUGGGUUCGAUUCCUGGUUGGGGAACUAAAAUCCCACAAGCUGCACAGCGCGGCCAAAAAAAUAAAAGCCAGGAGCCAAAGCUGUCUGCUUCACCAUUCUUCUGCUGACCCUCCAUCCAGUCUGGGAAUUAUCACUCUCUCACCCAGGGUCUCCAUCGCUCCCGGGUUCUUUUCCUUUCCUCUCUAGUUCUCUGUCCCACCUCUCUCUCUGGUGUCCGUUCCUUCCUUCUCUGGGUCUCUGGCCCCCUCCUCUAUCUCUGGUUUUCUGUCUCUGUCCUCCUCCCCAGGUCUCCGUCCUCCUCUCUCUGGGUCUCUGUCCUCCUUUCUCUCUGGGUUUCCACCCCCUCCUCUCUGCCCAUCUCCAGCUUUCUCUCCCUGUGUAGCUCAGAUGCUGUGUGCCAGCCUGUGUUCUUCCUGCCCACGUCCUCACGGUUCCCGCCCAUACCCUAAGGUGUUGACUGACAGUACUUUUUCCAUUUUAUGGAGAAGCCCCAUAGAGGCUGGUGCUCCCUGCAGCCCCACAGUGAGCUGCAGCUGCAUCAGACCUUGAUCUUGGCCGCCCAGGGCUCUUUCUCAGGCAUCACAAUCCUCUGGAGGAUGUGACUCAGAAAUAGCUCCGGUGGGAGGCGGACCUCUGCAAGUGCUGCCUGAGUGAUGCUGGAAGAGAAGGGGAGGAAAGUGUUCUGGCGGGAGGGGAUGCCUCCCAGGCCGUCCAUCCCACCUGGACUCUCUCUCUCUGCCUGCUGGUUUCUCUCCACCUGGUCCUCUUACCCUGGACACUCGCCCGGCCUCCUCUCUGGCCUGCCUGCCUCCAGUCUCUCCCCUCCAAACGUCUCCCACCCGGGGCCAGAGGCAUCUUCUAGGGAAAGAAAGCAUCACACUCGCUAGGCUUCUGGUCCUGACCCUGCUUCUUUCAAGCUCUCUAACCUUGCAGGGGGUCACUCCACCUCUCUCUACCUCACUUAUUUUUGUUUUCAUCUUCCUUGCAGAACCUCUAAGAGAGGAAAACGAGACACACACACCCCCACCAUAGGGAUGUAGCACAGUGCCUGGAACAUAGUAGAUGCUCAGUAAAUGGGUAUGGAGCCCAAAUGCCGAGUUGCUCCUCUCCCCUGCCCAGGAACCCUCAGUGGCUCCCCAUUAUCCUCAAGAGAAUGGAGAAUGCCCACAUUUCUCAGCCUCUGUGUCCUGUGCCCACCCCCUGCCAGCCUCACCUCUCCCACACACCACAAUCUAGCCACAAGGACAUGUUCCCCAGGCUCUUUUCAACUCCUGCCCUUUUGCAUAUGCUGUUCCAGCUAGGUGGAAUACCCUUCCCUGUAUUCUGCCUUCCUCAUCUUCAAGAUCCAGCUUGUGUGCUACCUUUUCCAGAAAGCCUUCCUUGACCAUGGUCGGCUGGGCCAAGGCCUUUUUCAGGGCUCCCACAGUGACCUCUACUGCCCCCAGCAAUGCAGGUGCUGACUCCUAAGCCCGGCUCCACUACUUAGAAGCCGUAUGACUUUGGGUAUGCUAAUUAACCUUCUAGGGCCUCAAUAUCUUCAUCUGUGAAAUGAGGAUAAAAAUAAUGACUAACUAUUCCGUGCAUACAACUGACUGUUGUGCUAAACAUUUUACAUGAAUGAAUGAAUUUCAUUGUCAUGACAACCUCAUGAGAUGGAUGCAAUUCUCUCCAGAACUCUGUUUUGGGUGCUGCUAUAUUUCCUCUUCCUAGAGCAGUGCCUGGCACAUUGUAGGUGUUUAAGAAAUAUUUCUUGAAAGAACAAACACAUGCAUCUCCAUUUUACAGAUGAGGACACUGAGGCUCCUGGAACACAGAAAGUGCUCAGUAUAUGCUAGUGAAUUUUUUUUUUUUUUUUUGACCAUGCCGUGUGGCAUGUGGGAUAUUAGUUCCCUGAGCUGGGAUUGAAGCCACGCCGCCUGCAGUGGAAGCUUGGAGUCCUAACCACUGGACCGCCAGGGAAUUCCCACUAGUGAAUCUUAUUAGUAUCAUUAUGACCGUGAUUAUUGUUAGUGUAGUUCUCAGUGUCCAUGUCAAGCCAAGUUCAGGGUCUGACCCAGGAGAAUCCUGGCAGGGGGUGGAGGUUGGUGGGAGAGUUAAAGGACCAAGCUGUAGCAUUCUAUGCUCUAGUCAGGAAUUCUCUAAAUUCUCCUAGAUCUUGCUCACCUCCCAGUUUUGCCCCACAGUCUGAGGUGGUCCGCUCAGAGAACUCCUGCUCAUCCGUCAAAGCCCAGUUCCAACACUGCCUUCUCCAGAAGUUUUCCCUGAUACCCCUAGCCUGGUUUGAGGUGCCCUUUUCUGGGAUCCCCAGUGUUACCUCCAUUAUGGAAUUUGUCACCCCAGUCUGUAUCUGUCACUCCCACCAGACUGGGGGCUUUCCUGGGGCAGGGACCUGGCCUGAUUCCUAUCUGUGACUCCAGCUUCACCCAGGACAUUUGGAAGUGACUGAAUGAACAAAAGACCAACUUGCAGGCAGCAGGCAGCAUUCACCCUGGAUGGAGCAGAUUCAUGGCUGACUGUAGGGCCUCAAAGGGUGACAAGAACCUUCUCAUUCCAAAUCAAGAAGACACCCUCCCGAAACCCAUCCUCAGUAUCUGCCUACCACCAGGGUGAGAGCCCUCGUAUUCCCCAGCCCGGCCGAGGGCCCUCUCACCAGUAUUUCCGUGAUAUCU
Molecule: long non-coding RNA, 6474 nt
Organism: Physeter macrocephalus (sperm whale)
Lineage: Eukaryota; Metazoa; Chordata; Mammalia; Artiodactyla; Physeteridae
Exons: 3
Source: RefSeq, a predicted model, not a curated record